This 65-nucleotide transfer RNA is filed under the name uncultured Eubacterium sp. It matches the Rfam family "tRNA", at positions 5 to 66 of the family's 71-position model. From Rfam's summary of the family: Transfer RNA (tRNA) molecules are approximately 80 nucleotides in length. Their secondary structure includes four short double-helical elements and three loops (D, anti-codon, and T loops). Further hydrogen bonds mediate the characteristic L-shaped molecular structure. tRNAs have two regions of fundamental functional importance: the anti-codon, which is responsible for specific mRNA codon recognition, and the 3' end, to which the tRNAs corresponding amino acid is attached (by aminoacyl-tRNA synthetases). tRNAs cope with the degeneracy of the genetic code in two manners: having more than one tRNA (with a specific anti-codon) for a particular amino acid; and 'wobble' base-pairing, i.e. permitting non-standard base-pairing at the 3rd anti-codon position. The record is from RNAcentral. Lineage: Bacteria; Bacillati; Bacillota; Clostridia; Eubacteriales; Eubacteriaceae.
UCUGUGGCUCAGUUGGUAGAGCAACUGAUUCGUAAUCAGUAGGUCGUCGGUUCAAGUCCGAUCAG